This 451-nucleotide ribosomal RNA is filed under the name uncultured bacterium. Its description in RNAcentral is "partial 16S ribosomal RNA". It matches the Rfam family "Bacterial small subunit ribosomal RNA", at positions 28 to 507 of the family's 1533-position model. The record is from RNAcentral.
AGCGAACGCUGGCGGCAUGCCUAACACAUGCAAGUCGCACGGGGGGGCUUCGGCCUCCCAGUGGCGGACGGGUGAGGAACGCGUAGGGACCUGUCGAGGGGUGGGGGAUAACCGCGGGAAACUGCGGCUAAUACCGCAUGACGCCGCGGCGUGACAGCCGGGGCCAAAGGCGAAAGCCGCCCGCCGAGGGGCCUGCGUCCGAUUAGCUGGUUGGCGGGGUAGCGGCCCACCAAGGCGUCGAUCGGUAGCUGGUCCGAGAGGGUGAUCAGCCACACCGGGACUGAGACACGGCCCGGACUCCUACGGGAGGCAGCAGUGGGGAAUAUUGGACAAUGGGCGCAAGCCUGAUCCAGCAAUGCCGCGUGGGUGAAGAAGGUCUUCGGAUUGUAAAGCCCUUUCGGCGGGGACGAUGGUGACGGUACCCGCAGAAGAAGCCCCGGCUAACUUCGUG